Non-coding RNA from Colletotrichum orbiculare MAFF 240422, 87 nucleotides. The record is from Rfam. NCBI's taxonomy places the organism in Eukaryota, Fungi, Ascomycota, Sordariomycetes, Glomerellales, Glomerellaceae.
GGUCUAUUAGUCUAGUUGGUUAGGACGUCGGAUUCUGAUCAUGAUUGGGAUGUUCCGUAAGCCCAGGUUCGAAUCCUGGAUGGACCU